CGAACCGUGCGAACGUUGUUCGGAAUCACUGGGCUUAAAGGGCGCGUAGGCGGGUGUCUAAGUCCAUGGUGAAAUCCUCAGCCCAACUGGAGAACGGCCGUGGAUACUGGGCACCUCGAGGGAGGUAGGGGCGUGCGGAACAGAUGGUGGAGCGGUGAAAUGCGUUGAUAUCAUCUGGAACUCCGGUGGCGAAGGCGGCACGCUGGACCUCUUCUGGCGCUGAGGCGCGAAAGCCAGGGGAGCGAACGGGAUUAGAUACCCCGGUAGUCCUGGCCCUAAACGAUGGGCACUAGGUAGUAGCCCGCACAUGGGGUUACUGCCGGAGCGAAAGUGCUAAGUGCCCCGCCUGGGGAGUAUGGUCGCAAGGCUG
Molecule: ribosomal RNA, 370 nt
Filed under: uncultured organism
Description: bacterial SSU rRNA
Rfam family: Bacterial small subunit ribosomal RNA
Source: RNAcentral